RNAcentral lists this ribosomal RNA (1342 nucleotides) under metagenome. RNAcentral's name for it is "bacterial SSU rRNA". It matches the Rfam family "Bacterial small subunit ribosomal RNA", at positions 162 to 1498 of the family's 1533-position model. The record is from RNAcentral.
GCUAAUACCGCAUAUUCUGUGAGCAGGAAAGCAGGGGAUCGCAAGACCUUGCGCUGAUUGAGCGGCCGAUAUCAGAUUAGCUUGUUGGUGAGGUAAAAGCUCACCAAGGCGACGAUCUGUAGCGGGUCUGAGAGGAUGAUCCGCCACACUGGAACUGAGACACGGUCCAGACUCCUACGGGAGGCAGCAGUGGGGAAUUUUGGACAAUGGGGGCAACCCUGAUCCAGCCAUGCCGCGUGAGUGAAGAAGGCCUUCGGGUUGUAAAGCUCUUUCAGCCGGGAAGAAAACGCAUGGGUUAAUACCCUGUGUGGAUGACGGUACCGGAAUAAGAAGCACCGGCUAACUACGUGCCAGCAGCCGCGGUAAUACGUAGGGUGCGAGCGUUAAUCGGAAUUACUGGGCGUAAAGCGUGCGCAGGCGGUUUUGUAAGACAGGCGUGAAAUCCCCGGGCUUAACCUGGGAACUGCGUUUGUGACUGCAAGGCUAGAGUACGGCAGAGGGGGGUGGAAUUCCACGUGUAGCAGUGAAAUGCGUAGAGAUGUGGAGGAACACCAAUGGCGAAGGCAGCCCCCCGGGUCGAUACUGACGCUCAUGCACGAAAGCGUGGGUAGCAAACAGGAUUAGAUACCCUGGUAGUCCACGCCCUAAACGAUGUCAACUAGGUGUUGGGAGGGUAAAACCUUUUAGUACCGGAGCUAACGCGUGAAGUUGACCGCCUGGGGAGUACGGCCGCAAGGUUAAAACUCAAAGGAAUUGACGGGGACCCGCACAAGCGGUGGAUGAUGUGGAUUAAUUCGAUGCAACGCGAAAAACCUUACCUACCCUUGACAUGCCAAGAACUUUCCAGAGAUGGAUUGGUGCCCGAAAGGGAACUUGGACACAGGUGCUGCAUGGCUGUCGUCAGCUCGUGUCGUGAGAUGUUGGGUUAAGUCCCGCAACGAGCGCAACCCUUGUCGUUAAUUGCCAUCAUUUAGUUGGGCACUUUAACGAGACUGCCGGUGACAAACCGGAGGAAGGUGGGGAUGACGUCAAGUCCUCAUGGCCCUUAUGGGUAGGGCUUCACACGUCAUACAAUGGUCGGUACAAAGGGUCGCCAAGCCGCGAGGUGGAGCCAAUCCCAGAAAGCCGAUCGUAGUCCGGAUCGCAGUCUGCAACUCGACUGCGUGAAGUCGGAAUCGCUAGUAAUCGUGGAUCAGAAUGUCACGGUGAAUACGUUCCCGGGUCUUGUACACACCGCCCGUCACACCAUGGGAGCGGGUUCCGCCAGAAGUAGGUAGCCUAACCGCAAGGAGGGCGCUUACCACGGCGGGGUUCGUGACUGGGGUGAAGUCGUAACAAGGUA